AUACGGAGGGUGCAAGCGUUGUUCGGAUUUAUUGGGCGUAAAGCGAGUGUAGGCGGUUUGACAAGUCGAAUGUGAAAUCCCGAGGCCCAACCUCGGAACUGCAUCCGAAACUGUCAGGCUAGAGUCCCGGAGAGGAUGGCGGAAUUCCCGGUGUAGGGGUGAAAUCCGUAGAUAUCGGGAGGAACACCAGUGGUGAAGGCGGCCAUCUGGACGGUGACUGACGCUGAGACUCGAAAGUGUGGGUAGCAAACAGGAUUAGAAACCCUAGUAGUCC
This 274-nucleotide ribosomal RNA is filed under the name uncultured bacterium. RNAcentral's name for it is "partial 16S ribosomal RNA". It matches the Rfam family "Bacterial small subunit ribosomal RNA", at positions 523 to 796 of the family's 1533-position model. The record is from RNAcentral.